RNAcentral lists this ribosomal RNA (1631 nucleotides) under Lucilia cuprina (Australian sheep blowfly). Its description in RNAcentral is "eukaryotic LSU rRNA". It matches the Rfam family "Eukaryotic large subunit ribosomal RNA", at positions 43 to 1451 of the family's 3401-position model. The record is from RNAcentral. Lineage: Eukaryota; Metazoa; Arthropoda; Insecta; Diptera; Calliphoridae.
UUAAUGAGGGGAGGAAAAGAAACUAACAAGGAUUUUCUUAGUAGCGGCGAGCGAAAAGAAAAUAGUUCAGCACUAAGUCACUUUGUCUUUAUGGCAAAUGUGAGAUGCAGUGUAUGGAAUGUCAAAUUUCUAGUAUGAGAAAUUAACGAUUUAAGUCCUUCUUAAAUGAGGCCAUUUACCCAAAGAGGGUGCCAGGCCCGUAUAACGUUAAUGAUUACUAGAUGGCAUUUCCAAAGAGUCGUGUUGCUUGAUAGUGCAGCACUAAGUGGGUGGUAAACUCCAUCUAAAACUAAAUAUAACCAUGAGACCGAUAGUAAACAAGUACCGUGAGGGAAAGUUGAAAAGAACUCUGAAUAGAGAGUUAAAUAGUACGUGAAACUGCUUAGAGGUUAAGCCCGAUGAACCUGAAUAUCCAUUAUGGAAAAUUCAUCAUUAUGAUUUUAAUAUUUGUAAUAUUAUAAUAAUGGUGUGCAUUUUUUCUAUAAAGGACAUUGUAAUCUAUUAACUUUAAUAUAUUUAUCAUAAGAUCAUUAGAUUAUGUUUAUUCAAAUUAUUUUGCUUGCAAUUUAAUAUCGAAUAAAUUCUUUUGAUUUGAUAAAGUGUUGAUAGAUUUAUUAUAUACAGUGCUUAAAUAUUUAUAUUUUAUAAUAUCAUAUUAAUCAAUGAUUUUUAUGUUCAUUAUAUGCACUUGUAUGAUUAACAAUGCGAAAGAUUCAGGAUACCUUCGGGACCCGUCUUGAAACACGGACCAAGGAGUCUAACAUAUUUGCAAGUUAUUGGGAAUAAAAACCUAAUAGCGAAAUUAACAUAACUUUAAUGGGAUUAGUUUUUAGCCUAUUUAUAGUCUAUUAAUUCAAUCCCGGGGCGUUCUAUACAGUUAUGUAUAAUAAUAUUUAUAUUAUUUAUACCUCUAACUAGAGCGUACCUUGAGCAUAUAUGCUGUGACCCGAAAGAUGGUGAACUAUACUUGAUCAGGUUGAAGUCAGGGGAAACCCUGAUGGAAGACCGAAACAGUUCUGACGUGCAAAUCGAUUGUCAGAAUUGAGUAUAGGGGCGAAAGACCAAUCGAACCAUCUAGUAGCUGGUUCCCUCCGAAGUUUCCCUCAGGAUAGCUGGUGCAUUUAAAAAUUAUGUAAAAUAAUCUUAUCUGGUAAAGCGAAUGAUUAGAGGCCUUAGGGUCGAAACGAUCUUAACCUAUUCUCAAACUUUAAAUGGGUAAGAACCUCACCUUUCUUGGUAUGAAGGUUGUGGUUGUGAUAUAAUGUGCCCAGUGGGCCACUUUUGGUAAGCAGAACUGGCGCUGUGGGAUGAACCAAACGUAAUGUUACGGUGCCCAAAUUAACAACUCAUGCAGAUACCAUGAAAGGCGUUGGUUGCUUAAAACAGCAGGACGGUGGACAUGGAAGUCGUAAUCCGCUAAGGAGUGUGUAACAACUCACCUGCCGAAGCAACUAGCCCUUAAAAUGGAUGGCGCUUAAGUUGUAUACCUAUACAUUACCGCUAAAGUAGAUGGUUUAUAUUCAAUCUCGGUUGGAUUUUAAACUUUGAAACUUUAUUGAGUAGGAGGGUACAAUGGUAAGCAUAGAAGUGUUUGGCGUAAGCCUGCAUGGAGCUGCCAUUGGCACAGAUCU